This 844-nucleotide ribosomal RNA is filed under the name Bacillus sp. Y476. RNAcentral's name for it is "bacterial SSU rRNA". It matches the Rfam family "Bacterial small subunit ribosomal RNA", at positions 62 to 888 of the family's 1533-position model. Lineage: Bacteria; Bacillati; Bacillota; Bacilli; Caryophanales; Bacillaceae. The record is from RNAcentral.
UCGAGCGGACAGAAGGGAGCUUGCUCCCGGAUGUUAGCGGCGGACGGGUGAGUAACACGUGGGUAACCUGCCUGUAAGACUGGGAUAACUCCGGGAAACCGGAGCUAAUACCGGAUAGUUCCUUGAACCGCAUGGUUCAAGGAUGAAAGACGGUUUCGGCUGUCACUUACAGAUGGACCCGCGGCGCAUUAGCUAGUUGGUGAGGUAACGGCUCACCAAGGCGACGAUGCGUAGCCGACCUGAGAGGGUGAUCGGCCACACUGGGACUGAGACACGGCCCAGACUCCUACGGGAGGCAGCAGUAGGGAAUCUUCCGCAAUGGACGAAAGUCUGACGGAGCAACGCCGCGUGAGUGAUGAAGGUUUUCGGAUCGUAAAGCUCUGUUGUUAGGGAAGAACAAGUGCAAGAGUAACUGCUUGCACCUUGACGGUACCUAACCAGAAAGCCACGGCUAACUACGUGCCAGCAGCCGCGGUAAUACGUAGGUGGCAAGCGUUGUCCGGAAUUAUUGGGCGUAAAGGGCUCGCAGGCGGUUUCUUAAGUCUGAUGUGAAAGCCCCCGGCUCAACCGGGGAGGGUCAUUGGAAACUGGGAAACUUGAGUGCAGAAGAGGAGAGUGGAAUUCCACGUGUAGCGGUGAAAUGCGUAGAGAUGUGGAGGAACACCAGUGGCGAAGGCGACUCUCUGGUCUGUAACUGACGCUGAGGAGCGAAAGCGUGGGGAGCGAACAGGAUUAGAUACCCUGGUAGUCCACGCCGUAAACGAUGAGUGCUAAGUGUUAGGGGGUUUCCGCCCCUUAGUGCUGCAGCUAACGCAUUAAGCACUCCGCCUGGGGAGUACGGUCG